RNAcentral lists this ribosomal RNA (372 nucleotides) under uncultured organism. RNAcentral's name for it is "bacterial SSU rRNA". It matches the Rfam family "Bacterial small subunit ribosomal RNA", at positions 526 to 896 of the family's 1533-position model. The record is from RNAcentral.
CGGAGGGGGCGAGCGUUAUUCGGAAUUAUUGGGCGUAAAGGGCGCGUAGGCGGCACGAUAAGUCAAAGGUGAAAUCCCUCGGCUCAACUGAGGAACUGCCUUUGAAACUGUCGAGCUUGAGUCCGGGAGGGGGUAGCGGAAUUCCCAGUGUAGCGGUGAAAUGCGUAGAUAUUGGGAGGAACACCAGUGGCGAAGGCGGCUACCUGGACCGGAACUGACGCUGAUGCGCGAAAGCGUGGGUAGCAAACAGGAUUAGAUACCCUGGUAGUCCACGCUGUAAACGAUGGGUGCUCGGUGUCGCGGGUAUCGACCCCUGCGGUGCCUUAGCUAACGCGUUAAGCACCCCGCCUGGGGAGUACGGUCGCAAGGCUG